GACGAACGCUGGCGGCGUGCCUAAUACAUGCAAGUAGAACGCUGAAGAGAGGAGCUUGCUCUUCUUGGAUGAGUUGCGAACGGGUGAGUAACGCGUAGGUAACCUGCCUUGUAGCGGGGGAUAACUAUUGGAAACGAUAGCUAAUACCGCAUAACAAUGGAUGACACAUGUCAUUUAUUUGAAAGGGGCAAUUGCUCCACUACAAGAUGGACCUGCGUUGUAUUAGCUAGUAGGUGAGGUAACGGCUCACCUAGGCGACGAUACAUAGCCGACCUGAGAGGGUGAUCGGCCACACUGGGACUGAGACACGGCCCAGACUCCUACGGGAGGCAGCAGUAGGGAAUCUUCGGCAAUGGGGGCAACCCUGACCGAGCAACGCCGCGUGAGUGAAGAAGGUUUUCGGAUCGUAAAGCUCUGUUGUAAGUCAAGAACGAGUGUGAGAGUGGAAAGUUCACACUGUGACGGUAGCUUACCAGAAAGGGACGGCUAACUACGUGCCAGCAGCCGCGGUAAUACGUAGGUCCCGAGCGUUGUCCGGAUUUAUUGGGCGUAAAGCGAGCGCAGGCGGUUUGAUAAGUCUGAAGUUAAAGGCUGUGGCUCAACCAUAGUUCGCUUUGGAAACUGUCAAACUUGAGUGCAGAAGGGGAGAGUGGAAUUCCAUGUGUAGCGGUGAAAUGCGUAGAUAUAUGGAGGAACACCGGUGGCGAAAGCGGCUCUCUGGUCUGUAACUGACGCUGAGGCUCGAAAGCGUGGGGAGCGAACAGGAUUAGAUACCCUGGUAGUCCACGCCGUAAACGAUGAGUGCUAGGUGUUGGAUCCUUUCCGGGAUUCAGUGCCGCAGCUAACGCAUUAAGCACUCCGCCUGGGGAGUACGACCGCAAGGUUGAAACUCAAAGGAAUUGACGGGGGCCCGCACAAGCGGUGGAGCAUGUGGUUUAAUUCGAAGCAACGCGAAGAACCUUACCAGGUCUUGACAUCCCGAUGCUAUUUCUAGAGAUAGAAAGUUACUUCGGUACAUCGGUGACAGGUGGUGCAUGGUUGUCGUCAGCUCGUGUCGUGAGAUGUUGGGUUAAGUCCCGCAACGAGCGCAACCCCUAUUGUUAGUUGCCAUCAUUCAGUUGGGCACUCUAGCGAGACUGCCGGUAAUAAACCGGAGGAAGGUGGGGAUGACGUCAAAUCAUCAUGCCCCUUAUGACCUGGGCUACACACGUGCUACAAUGGUUGGUACAACGAGUUGCGAGUCGGUGACGGCAAGCUAAUCUCUUAAAGCCAAUCUCAGUUCGGAUUGUAGGCUGCAACUCGCCUACAUGAAGUCGGAAUCGCUAGUAAUCGCGGAUCAGCACGCCGCGGUGAAUACGUUCCCGGGCCUUGUACACACCGCCCGUCACACCACGAGAGUUUGUAACACCCGAAGUCGGUGAGGUAACCUUUUGGAGCCAGCCGCCUAAGGUGGGAUAGAUGAU
Molecule: ribosomal RNA, 1463 nt
Filed under: uncultured bacterium
Lineage: Bacteria
Description: bacterial SSU rRNA
Rfam family: Bacterial small subunit ribosomal RNA
Source: RNAcentral